GACGAACGCUGGCGGCGUGCUUAACACAUGCAAGUCGAACGGAAAGGCCCUGCUUUUGUGGGGUGCUCGAGUGGCGAACGGGUGAGUAACACGUGAGUAACCUGCCCUUGACUUUGGGAUAACUUCAGGAAACUGGGGCUCAUACCGGAUAGGAGCUCCUGCUGCAUGGUGGGGGUUGGAAAGUUUCGGCGGUUGGGGAUGGACUCGCGGCUUAUCAGCUUGUUGGUGGGGUAGUGGCUUACCAAGGCUUUGACGGGUAGCCGGCCUGAGAGGGUGACCGGCCACAUUGGGACUGAGAGACGGCCCAGACUCCUACGGGAGGCAGCAGUGGGGAAUAUUGCACAGUGGGCGGAAGCCUGAUGCAGCAACGCCGCGUGCGGGAUGACGGCCUUCGGGUUGUAAACCGCUUUCGCCUGUGACGAAGCGUGAGUGACGGUAAUGGGUAAAGAAGCACCGGCUAACUACGUG
RNAcentral lists this ribosomal RNA (468 nucleotides) under uncultured bacterium. Its description in RNAcentral is "partial 16S ribosomal RNA". It matches the Rfam family "Bacterial small subunit ribosomal RNA", at positions 28 to 507 of the family's 1533-position model. The record is from RNAcentral.